This 321-nucleotide ribosomal RNA is filed under the name Triticum aestivum (bread wheat). RNAcentral's name for it is "partial small subunit ribosomal RNA". Lineage: Eukaryota; Viridiplantae; Streptophyta; Magnoliopsida; Poales; Poaceae. The record is from RNAcentral.
AUGGGAGCAUCUAUUAGAAAUGGGAUGUAUUGGAAAUUUCGGUUAGAGUUAGAGGCUAUUCACACGUCCAGUAUCAUAAGGAAUUGGAAGCACACUCGUCUGCUAUCGUGCUUUAUGGAGACAAGUGUCUUUUCAGAGGAGUCCUCAGAAAACAGUGUCCUUCUAGUUAGAGGAUCCCCGGGUUUUUUGGGCAAAAAGAAGAUCCUAGUUUCAUUAACCAUACAGGGAUUAGAGUGGCACAGGGAAAAAAAAUGGAACCUUUCGUAUGAAGGGAAUGGGAUGAUAACAAUUGUUCCCUUUUUCUUUUUUAUUUCAAACUAA